UGGGGAAUAUUGGACAAUGGGCGAAAGCCUGAUCCAGCCAUGCCGCGUGUGUGAAGAAGGUCUUCGGAUUGUAAAGCACUUUAAGUUGGGAGGAAGGGCAGUUACCUAAUACGUAAUUGUUUUGACGUUACCGACAGAAUAAGCACCGGCUAACUCUGUGCCAGCAGCCGCGGUAAUACAGAGGGUGCAAGCGUUAAUCGGAAUUACUGGGCGUAAAGCGCGCGUAGGUGGUUUGUUAAGUUGGACGUGAAAUCCCCGGGCUCAACCUGGGAACUGCAUUCAAAACUGACUGACUAGAGUAUGGUAGAGGGUGGUGGAAUUUCCUGUGUAGCGGUGAAAUGCGUAGAUAUAGGAAGGAACACCAGUGGCGAAGGCGACCACCUGGACUAAUACUGACACUGAGGUGCGAAAGCGUGGGGAGCAAACA
RNAcentral lists this ribosomal RNA (427 nucleotides) under uncultured bacterium. RNAcentral describes it as "partial 16S ribosomal RNA". It matches the Rfam family "Bacterial small subunit ribosomal RNA", at positions 355 to 774 of the family's 1533-position model. The record is from RNAcentral.